UCAAAUAACUUCGAAUGUUGUGAGCUUGUGAGAGUGUUUAAUGAUUUUUUAUUAAAAAUAAUUACAUAAUUGAACAUUAUAUAAAAUGUUAAGAAUACCAUUACAAAUGCUACGUUUUCAAUCAAUAGGUGCUAUAAACUGCUUGCACUCUAAAGGUUUUAAAAAUUUUGGUCAUAAAAAACAACCUAUGCCCGCUGUAACCUUAUUAUGGCAUGGAUACUUAACAUUUAUGUUUAUCGGCCUCAGCAUUAAUUGGAAAAGAGUUGGGAGUUUUAUCUUUGGUGAAGAUGUGGAACAAUCAACUUCAACCGAAUAGUACAUUAUAUUUCGGCUAUUAUAUAAAGUGGUAGAUUAAACAGAUAGCCCCAGAAGCGAUUUCAACAUUAUUGGUCGCAAACAAUUAGUUUUACCUGAUGGUGCUGUAAAUGAGCCACUAAGAAUUACCUACACAAUAAUUAAAUUAUUUUCCAAUAUAUUUCUUUAA
Papilio machaon (common yellow swallowtail) is the source of this 484-nucleotide long non-coding RNA. RefSeq lists it as uncharacterized. Lineage: Eukaryota; Metazoa; Arthropoda; Insecta; Lepidoptera; Papilionidae. The record is from RefSeq and is a predicted model, not a curated record. The transcript has 3 exons.